This is a long non-coding RNA of Triticum dicoccoides, 1967 nucleotides long. RefSeq lists it as uncharacterized. Lineage: Eukaryota; Viridiplantae; Streptophyta; Magnoliopsida; Poales; Poaceae. The transcript has 7 exons. The record is from RefSeq and is a predicted model, not a curated record.
UCCUUUUGCCUUUCCAGUUUGCAAAGCUAGGGUUGCAGCCGCCGCCGCUGCCGCUGCCACUGCCCCAUCUCUCCUCCGGCACCGGGCACCGAAGGAAGGCCGACUUCUCCCACUCUUCUCCUCUUUGAUUGCUACCUCAUAGCAAGGCGUGGCCCAACUCUUCACCAUGGCGCCGACAGCAAGGCAGGCAACGCCGCGAGCUCUCGUCACGAGGAAGCCGCAGGAGGACGAGGUCAAGCCGGACUAGGUCGAUGUGCCCCCCUGCCACACCUCCUUCUUCUCUUGCUGGUUGGUUGCUGGCUUGCUGCUGUUUCUGGUGCCGUUCGUGUCCGACCGGAAGGGCGUAUCUGCUGUCUGUGUCACUGCUCCCUUGCGAGCUCACGCAUCCACAUCGGAGGCUGCCGCUUGCAAAACUGCUCUAAACCUCUAACCCGAGGAGCUCGUUGUCACCAUUGUGUAGAGGAGCACCAGGCUGCAUCAUAAGACGCCUCAACAGCCACCGACGAAGUCGUCGAGCCGAGGUGAGAACCCCCUUCCCACGCCUUCCCAUGUUGCCCCCCUUCGUGGUUCUUAGCCGCUAGCCAUAUGUACUGUCGGUGAGAGCGGGGAGGAAGGGGAGGCAGAAAGGAAGAUGAAUCUGGGACGGACAAAGCAUUUUUUUGUGCUAUCUUGCUUCAAUUGGAACCAAUAGUUUCGUGCCAUGACUUCUAGAUUUUAAUCUUACUUGACUCCGUAUACCUUGUGUUUGAUGAAAUGCAAACGUGCAAGCCUUUUGAGUGAGUUCCUCCAUAUUUCAUCAAUUCAAGUUGGUUCAUACACAUCACAGCAGGGUGUUGAUUUGCAAGUAUACGGUUGAGUAAUAAAAGGAACAUACUGAUUAACUUGUUCGCUGCUUCCUCUGCUGCUGCCCAGCUAAUGAUGUGCACUUUUGCUUUGGCAAAAUGUUUGGCUAUGGAAGGAAAGCCUUUUGGUGUGGUUAGCUACAGAAUUAAUGGUAGCCCCUGGCAAAUGUUGAAGUUUUUUCAUGUAACAAGACCACAACUUUGAAAACUAAGACAUGCGAAUGUGCAUAAUAACAAGGCUGAGAUCAGGGACCCAACCAGUCACCCUAAUGUGCAUAGAAAAGAUUGAAGGGUGAUGCCACAAGGACCGAUGAGGAAAUCAAACUGAGGGUAUCUACGGUUAUCCUAUUGAGAUCCAAGCUCUAUUGUACAUGAAAUUAAGAUGUGCUCUUCAAAUGCUUAAGCCGGAUGGUGAAGGGGAGGACUUCAUAGAAAAGAUACAAAACAGAAGAGUACUCCCACACUGCUGUGAACAGGUUCACUACACAGAAGACUACCUCCAGAAGUGCAUUAACCAAGAUCAUGAUGCAUUGCCAAUCAAGCUUGCAGAUGGCGAGAUCUCCAUCAUCUCUCGCCUCAUCACAGGGAAUGACAGGAUGACCACCAUCACAACCAACUGGACAGAGUUCCGCUGUCAUGCAAACAUGCAUGAGGGUGACAUCUGCGUCUUCUACUUCAGACACAAGGCAAGGUGUACCGUUGAUGAUUGCUAUUAUCUCCUAUAAAUAUAAUUAAUGUAUCGUGCUCAUGUUUAUUGAACCUUCUACCUCUAUUCCUUGCCUUACUUUUGAAUCACCUUAAUUAUCUAGAUAUCAACAUGCUACCUAUGUGUUGUAUGUGUUUAUCACCGGGAUUAAUUUCCUUUCUUCCACUGUCACUUAUCUUAUACUCAUGCGCAUUGCUGCCGAUAUAUUACAAUUUGUUCCUGAUGCUUGCAUGAAGCCAGUCAUUACUGGUACAGUGGCCUAAUUAAUAGCGCACAAUAACGCAUCACGAGGCGCCACCAGGUGGCGUCCCAACCACUAGUUUGUUAUGAUGAAAGCAUGCCUCCUAUUUAUGAUGAUUAUAUUGAUGAAAGUGGGUUUGGAAGAGUGUCAACUUUAUUUAGUGAUGAUUCCACUAUUU